RNAcentral lists this ribosomal RNA (732 nucleotides) under Vibrio sp. ACH-45. RNAcentral describes it as "bacterial SSU rRNA". It matches the Rfam family "Bacterial small subunit ribosomal RNA", at positions 65 to 778 of the family's 1533-position model. The record is from RNAcentral. Lineage: Bacteria; Pseudomonadati; Pseudomonadota; Gammaproteobacteria; Vibrionales; Vibrionaceae.
AGCGGAAACGACACUAACAAUCCUUCGGGUGCGUUAAUGGGCGUCGAGCGGCGGACGGGUGAGUAAUGCCUAGGAAAUUGCCUUGAUGUGGGGGAUAACCAUUGGAAACGAUGGCUAAUACCGCAUGAUGCCUACGGGCCAAAGAGGGGGACCUUCGGGCCUCUCGCGUCAAGAUAUGCCUAGGUGGGAUUAGCUAGUUGGUGAGGUAAUGGCUCACCAAGGCGACGAUCCCUAGCUGGUCUGAGAGGAUGAUCAGCCACACUGGAACUGAGACACGGUCCAGACUCCUACGGGAGGCAGCAGUGGGGAAUAUUGCACAAUGGGCGAAAGCCUGAUGCAGCCAUGCCGCGUGUAUGAAGAAGGCCUUCGGGUUGUAAAGUACUUUCAGUUGUGAGGAAGGGUGUGUAGUUAAUAGCUGCGCAUCUUGACGUUAGCAACAGAAGAAGCACCGGCUAACUCCGUGCCAGCAGCCGCGGUAAUACGGAGGGUGCGAGCGUUAAUCGGAAUUACUGGGCGUAAAGCGCAUGCAGGUGGUUCAUUAAGUCAGAUGUGAAAGCCCGGGGCUCAACCUCGGAACUGCAUUUGAAACUGGUGAACUAGAGUGCUGUAGAGGGGGUAGAAUUUCAGGUGUAGCGGUGAAAUGCGUAGAGAUCUGAAGGAAUACCAGUGGCGAAGGCGGCCCCCUGGACAGACCUGACACUCAGAUGCGAAAGCCUGGGGAGCAAACAGGAU